Molecule: unclassified non-coding RNA, 11478 nt
Filed under: Leishmania donovani
Lineage: Eukaryota; Euglenozoa; Kinetoplastea; Trypanosomatida; Trypanosomatidae
Description: gene:LdHU3.35.3190(CDS-product:hypothetical_prote in_conserved)
Source: RNAcentral
GUAAGCACACACCCGCACGCCGCCUCUCUGGCUUCCUCUUGCGCUCUUAUCUGCGCGUGCUGAUAGUGCACAGCCACACCGGACACGGUCGGAAUAAACCCAACAACAAGGCAAACGACCAAAGAGAAAUCGCCUUUUCACCUGUGAGGCCGAUACAGCCGCAGACAAGCAAAAAAGAAGACGAAGCGUUCAGAAAAACAGGAAAGAUACGGUAGAACGCGAGCAAGACACUGGGCAAAAAAAAAAAAAAACAGUCGGGAAGACAAGGAACAGCGCUUCCUAUACAGGCCCCAUACCCAUCCCCCCCACCCCGAAGCCAUAGACGCCUUGAAGACGCAAAGCAUCCCGACCUUUGUUUUCUCCCUUGUUGCCUUUCCCUUGCUCCUGUUUUGCGAGCAUCUGUGCCUUCCUCGACCCCUUUGGCGUGUGCUGAGCGAGCCGGACCACGACUACGCCCAGCAAGCCGUUUCGACACACUCCUUCGCCCCAAUUCCCUCCUUCUCGUGAGCAAGACGAAGUGCUCCACUACCAAAGCAGCCAUCCAUCUUUUCUCGUUUUCAUCUUUGUUGCCCUGCUCUUCUUUCGGAGAGCUUGGGAGGAAGAGACGAGAGCUGUGGUGCGCUUUCCUUGUCCCGGGCGAGUCACAACACGAAGACGCCGAGUACACUUUUGCGCGCACAGACAUAGUCAGAGUGUCCACGCGCAUAGCACGACGUCGCUUCGUCCCUCUCUCUUUCCCCAUUAGAAUCGCUCCAUUGAGAAGUAGCGAAAGGUGCGCCUUCUUUUCUCCUUUUUUCUUUGUUGUUUCAAAAGAGUUGUCUGUCCCUCCUUUAUUCGGUCUCCCCACUUCGUUUUUUUUUUCUCUCCGAAACAGAAAGAGGAAAGCAGAAUACCUAUCUUCUUUACAUUCUCCUUUUUUUGGCUCUUACUGUCUUGCACGUCUUGUUUUGCUUCUCUGCUGCGUGUGUGUGUCUUGUUUUGUCGUUGUGUUUGUGAGUGUCUGUGCGAUCGUUUAUUCAGUGCUACCCGCUCGUGUAUACGUGUUCCCUUUGGGUUUCAACGAAUUUCUUGUCAUUACAGCCCCCUCCCCCCUCCAGGUAGGUAAGCGCAGUAUCACACGACAAGGUAUAGCACAGGCGCGCUCCAUUCACGGAUUGAUGUAAUUUCUCUUGUUUUUCCCGCUCCUUUCGGCCUGCUGUUCUUUUCUGUCGCUUCACCUCCUUUUGAAUCUGUGUGCCUGUGCCUGUGCCUGGCUGUAGCUUUUUUGUUUCAUAUAUAUAUAUAUAUAUACAUAUACAUUUUUCUUGCCUGUGUGUUGCGUGUCUCGCGUUCUCUGCGCCGUGUGUGCCUUCGUCGUGUCGCAGCUUAAUCCUUACCGUUUGCUUGUCUCUGUAUCUCGUUGUCGGCUCUCCCUCUCUCCUUUUUUCUCUUGUCUUUGCGCGUACAGCGCAAGCCAUCGACCCAUCGAAGCCCUUUUGUGGAACAGGAUUAAGCAAGAGAGGAAGAGCAAAGAGCAUCGAGGCAAAGACAUAUACAGCGCUUGAUUGAAUUAGGACGAGUCUCUCUCUACACACAUAUAUAUAUAUUUCUUUCACAAUAUUAUCCUUUCACGUCCUUGAGUGUUUGCUUUUUACCCGAGCUGUUGGCCUCUUCUCCAUCGAAGUCGCCUGCGGUUCUGCCACAAAAGGCGUGCCUUUGGCAAGUUUGCUCAUACACCGUCACGCAUCUGAAAACAAUAAGGAAUCGGCGCACAGGUUCAAACGAGUCGAUUAGCGGCGAAGCACCAAAGUCAGCUCUCUCGUCUGCAAUUCUCUCAGUAAUUUUUGUUGUUUGUGGCGUUGGUUUACGCGGUCUUUGUAUCUCUCGUAUUGCCCUCUUUUUUUUUGCGUUGUUCAUAUUUUUUUUUGGUCGACUCCUUGUCUUUUUCGUGUUUCGCUUUCUCUCUUUUCUCUUCUUGUACGUGUGCGUGGACUUUGAUCAACUCUGCUCUUCCUUGCUCUGUUCUCUCCUUCGUUUUGUUUCGCUUCCUGCCUUUUUCUCUAUCUCCGUGUCUGUGUUCACUUUUGUGAUCAUCUUUUUCUUAAAGAAGAUUCACUAGGACUUCUACUUUACAUAUUGACUCCUUUAUAUAUAUAUAUAUAUAUUUGUGCACCCGUUUGUGCACACGACGGCUUUUUUUUGCCUGCUGCGUUGCCUCCCUCCUCCUCCUUCUGUUUGUUCUUUUUUGGUAUUUCAAGCAAGAAACAAGAGCAAGCUCAAGGUAUUCUUUUGCCGUGCGCAAACAUAUUACUGUGGAUACUUUUUCUGUGCCCCACCUCACCCCUCCCCUCCCUGUGUGUGUGUGUGUGUGUGUGUGCGUGUCUUUUUGUGGGAAAGAGUCAGCGCAAGAAGUGUGACUCACUCGAACGCAAAGCGGCUGGAUACCUUUUCUCCCCUCUUUUUCUCUUCGUAUCUCACCUUGUCUGCUGCCGUCUUUGCGCGUGUACGGACGAGCUGCCUUUUUUCUUGUACAUUUUCUCUUUUACCUUGCUUCGCUCUGUUUUUUUUUUCGUGUCCUGUGUGCACCCCCUCCCCCAAUCGCACACUCCGCCCUCAUUGCCCCUUUUUCUUUUCGAGGAGACGCUAUUCGCUCAUUGCCCCCCCCCCCCCCCCCCGACGACUGUUCUUAUCGGCUUGUUCAGUUUCACCGCCCCUCUCACAUUGUUUUCCCAUCUAUCUUCACGCUUCACCCUGUCGCGUGUCUUCCUUGGCCGUCAGAUCUUUGUUUUCGUUUUUGUGUCCCUCUUUUAUUGUUGUCACCUUUGACCGCUUUCUCGGUCUCUCUCUGAGUGUGCGCUUGUGUGGGUAGCCGCCAGGCGCAGCCUUCUUAAGCCUUGUGUUUCGUGUCUGUUGCCCAUCGCGUACACGUUUGGAGGUGUUCUGCUUGGUCUGGUCCACUUGCUUUCUUUCUGUGCCGUCCUUUAUUGUUUACGUCGGCCUUGGUUUCAUCCAUUUUUGUUUUGGUUUUAUUUCCUUUUUUUUUUCGGCGCUCUUGUCGCUUUCAUUUGUGCUGGCUCUGCUUUGCUCAUAUAUAGAUCUUUUCCUUCUCUCGAUCUCGAUCUGAUUUAUUAUUGCUCUCGAUUAUCAAAUUCUUGUUUCGACCGUGUCGAUUUUUCUUUGUUUUGGUUUUGAAAGGUGUGUGUGCUCACCUUCCUUUUCGGUGUUCUUUCUUUGUAUCCCUCUCUCCUCGUUUUUUUUUUACCGGUUGCUGUCAUUGUUUUGUUUGCUCGUUUCCGGAUUUUUUUUUCGUUUGAUUAUUUAUUCUGCGCAUUUUUUUGUUGUUCUCGUCAAACAGUGCUCAUCUGUUUUUCCUUUCGACAAGGUCUACUGGGCACACAGGUAGCAGGAAACGAUUCUCGUUUUCGUUUUUAUUUUGAUGCGGGGGGUGCGUCUCGCUUGUGCUCUCUAUUUUGUGCAUUUCUCUGUGUCCAGAGGUGUACAGGAUACAGAAACGAGCAUAUUGUGCAUCCCUCUCUCUCUUUCUCUUUGCUGUCUUUUUUUUUCUUCUCGGUCCCUUUAUUUUUUCCCUUGUUUGACUGGUUGACAGACAGUCGAAGCGUCUGUGCUUCAUUGCAACCACUUUGUGUCUCCUACUUUACGCGACACCCUCCUCCUCUCUUUCUGCCCCCCCCCCCCCCCUUCCCGUGUCUUUGCCGCCUCCAGCUUGUAUGUGUGUGGGCGCUCCACAUCGUCAAGAGACUCUUCCACCACGAAAAAAAAAACGUGCUGGCAAGGCACCGAAGUUUUGUCGAGCAGCAGACGGUGGACGUCACCUCCGUCGUGUGCGUUGUCUUCAAGUAGUCGUUGUUGUCCUCUCGACACGUGCUAUCAGGUGGUGUGUGCGUGCGUUGCCACCAUCGUCUUUUGUGUUAUCUUGCCGCAGCCCCUCGACUCUCUCUCUCUUUUUACAGCCUGCUUCGCGCAAGCUCUACGUCGUCCUUCAGGGUUGACUGGAGAUAGCACGUCCGAAGGGAGGGAACAGCGAGAAGGUGGUCAGUGAAGCUGCUCGUGUGCUGCGGUCUCCCACUUCCCUCCGAUCUCAGCCUCGUUGCGGAGUGGAGCAGGAGCCCCCUGGCGCGCGACUGCUGAGCAAAGCGCGUGCGGGGGUGGGACGUGUGACCGAAGCAAAAGGCCGUACCGCCAAGCCGGCACCCGCAAAGUAAAGCGACAUAGAGGGAGGAGAGAGCAAAGCAAGUGCAGACCGGCGCUUGCAGGUGGCAAACGAAGAUAAUCCACUUCCCGAUUCCGCUUCUUCUCGUCUGUUUUUCUCCGUAUUGACCCUCUCCACUUCGCUUCCUCUCCGUUCAUUUAUUUGCUUUGUGCUCUUUUUUUUUCACGGCCGCCGCCCCCCCCCUCUCCUCCUCCUCCGACUCUUCCUUUGUGUGUGUGUGCUCUUUGUGGUGUUCUUUCAGUCUGAGUUUUUUGUUUGUAUUCUUUUCCUUUUUUUUCGGUUUGUUCUGCCUCUUCUCCGUUUGUAUCUGCGUUUACUGACAACGUGACUAGCGCUUCGCUUUUCCCGUUUUCCUUGUGUUGCUCUUUGGCUGUUCCCUCUCUGUAUCCCUGGCUCGGUGUGGUGCCGUGCCCUUCAAAUACAAACUUACGAAAAAAAGGAAACGAAACACACGGACACACAUACACAUACACAUACACAUACACACACACACACAGAUCAAGAGGAGCAGUUGAGUAUACCGACACAUCUAUACGAUAAGAAAGGGAAGAAAAAGAAAAAUACCCCCUGCAAGCAUACCACGGUGCUCGAUUUCGUCGUUUAUUGCGCGCUGUUUCCGUGUGCAUCAUACACAUCACGUACCCCCUUCCUAUCUUUGUCGUUCUCUCGCUUUUGACGUUUACUUGCUUUUUUUUCGUUUUCCAGCUUACUUGACGGCUGCCUCCGAAUCGUUAUCAUUAUAUGUGAGUUAAACUGAAAUUUGGUUUUGUUUAUUCUACCACUCUGCAGCGGCUUACUCAAGCGGGGGUGCUCCGUACCGCUCUUUAGAUAUUUGGCUCCUUUUCUUUGCCUCAUCUCUCUAUUUUUUUUAAAGUUCUCUUUUGUUUUGUUGUUGUUCUUUUUCCGUUGUGCGUUUUGCGAUACGGACUCACGUGAUUGCUCUCCUCUUUGCUUGAUCGCUGAUCCUGACCACGAUUACGACGCCCACUUUUCGACUUCUUUUUUUCCCUUCAUCCCUGUUCGCCUUCAGUUUUUUUUUUUAAAGCGCGGUGAAUCUUGCUUUACUCUUGAAACGUUUCCUCUGCUUCGUCGUGGCGCAGCUCUGAUUCUCUAGUCUGCUGUGCUUUCCGUUCUCCUCCUCGCACUCUUUCCAGGCUGCUCCGUGGAGUAUCUGCAUCUCUCUUUGUUUCUUUCAGAUUGUCCUGCCUUUUUUUUUUGCCACCGCUGCGUCUCAAGCAUUUUCCUCCCCUCUUGCAACCUCCUUCAGUUUUUUUUUACGUUUUUUUUUUGCCUUUUCAGAUAUCUUCUCAUGCACCUUCUCCGUUGUCCCUUUUUCCAGUGCUUUGGGACAUCGAACCUGUUGGAGUUUUUGUGCGCGUGUGGGCUUCCGCUUGCUCUGCUCUCCCCAAAGCGUUCUCGGCGUUCUCUGGGCCGAUCCACACACACAAGCACACACACUCACAUACGCAAGAGGGCAGAAAACGGAGGCAGUUGCCUUACCGCCAGCGCCGCCACUUCGCUUUAAUUCCACUUGUGCGUGUGUGCCUCGAGGUCUUCCAUCUCGCACUCCGUGGACACGUUACUUUCUCGCCUGUGUCGCGAUAACAAAACCGACUCGCGACUUCACACACCGGCGGACGCGCGGAUUGAAAGACAACCCGCUAAUCGAAAAAAAAACAAGCAAAAAAGCUUUUUGGCGCUGAUCCAACUGCAGACUUUUUUUAUUGACACACUCGCACACACGGGCACAUACAGAUACCCAAGGAAAAACACAUAACAACAGCUGCCCCGGCGUCGGAGCAGCAGCAGCGACUGCCGCGGACAGAGAGACUCACGCAAACUAAGGUGAACGCAAAGAAACUAAUUUUUUUAGCAUAUAAACGCGCACUGAUCAAUUGUGGGGCUUGAUUUCGUGUACGCAUUUUUUUUGAUGGUCUGUUCUUUUUCCAUUUAUUAUUAUUUCUGAUUCUCCUUUUUUUUUUUUAAACCGGCGUGUCGUUCUGAAAUUGCAGCCGAUCUACACGAAGAAAGAACUCUAUAGCUGUCGUUCUCCUCCUAUCUUCCGAGUCUGUGGGCGAGUGCUUGUGCGCAUGUCUUUCUCUCUCCAUGCUUUAGACUCUCCCGCAUUGUAAUUGUACUCAAGUAUUUAUUGCCCUCGUUCUUUUCGAGUCUUUUGUUUCUUGCUGGUGCGCGUGGGUGUCUCCUCUUCUUCUUCGUCGAUUUCCUCUUGUUGUUCGUUUUCACUCCCUCUGUUACUCUUCUAGUGUUUUGCUUUGAGCGAGUCGAGGAGAACAAGCGGCGAAAAGCCUCAUCGACAGAGCAGCUCGCAGCUGUCUAUGCAGACGGUUCAACAAACACCGCUAUCUGAUUUUCGGUGUCGGCGAAAGCAAUAUUGAAGGGGGCAAAAAAGAGGCAACGGAACAAGGACACUGCUCGUCAGUCUACAGAGCGUGCGUGAAGCGGAGCUUAUCGUUAUACCCCUCUUGCUUCCUCUCUUGUUGUGCUAAAUCCCUCACUUGGUGUUGCCUCUCUGCACGGUCGGUCCUCCCAUCGCGCAGUGUGCGGAAGAGAGGGUGUUUGGUGGCUUUCUUGCUCCCUUGCAUGCCACCGACGCCCUGACUCUUUUAUUUUUCCUUUUGCCCGGUCUUUUUUAUUUAUCGUGUGUCACAGCUACGUUGACUUUUCGUUCGUACGCAGCACACGAGGUGCCCAGAAUUUUGCAGUUGGCCUUUCGAUUUCCUCUAUUGGUUAGGUUUCUAGUCUUUUUUUCUUUUCUGUUCUUUGCCAGCCGCUGUAGGCCGGUGGGUUCUGGCCACUGGCGCCUUGUGUGCACCGUCGCCUGCACAAGCACGAGGCCAAAAACCAGCGCUGCUCAUUGCGUUUAAACGACCGUUCAAGCACGUAUAGACACGCGCGGAUCAGAGAACACAAGAGGGGGUUUAUACACGUGGUGCCUGGUGAAAGGCAUCAAGGCAUUUUUGCAGGUCUUUCUGUUGCGCUUCUCGCUCCCGUUUCUUUUUUAGCGAUUGCGUGGUUCCUGCCCUCAGCAUUUGAACCUGCUCCUCGCUACGUACGAGGGAGCAGGCGCGAAAAAAAAAACUGAAAAAGACAUGCCUGUCGUGUCUUCCUUUGUAGCGGCGGUGCUACUGGGCGGCGCGCCAAUUCUAGUGGAUACGGUGUCUGUGGAGAGCCGCGCUCACGAGGGAACAAACGGCAACACUUUGUCUUCUCCACAGCAGGACUACCCAGAUUCCGUCGCGUCAGCCUCGAAAAGCACAGUGCUGUCGUCCGGCAGCUCUGCAGCGGGUAGCAGUGACGCUACACGGCCUGCCCACUCGUGGUGGCAGGACCUGUGUGGUAGCCGUGCAUACAGUCGCUGCUUUCUCACGUACGCCGCGCCCGUUGUUUGCGUCUGGCUUCUUCUUUUGGCAGUAGGCUCGUGGUGUCUCACACGGUGGUGGCGCUGCUGCACGCGUUGGCUGAACAGGUGGCGACACUUUGUCGAUGAUGCGUCAGACGCGGAAAACUACAGUGCAGUAAGAUCUGGAGAUGCAAUGGUGUCUCGCCGUGGGCUUCUCUCAGGCCACCGGCUCGACUCGCAGGACGUUCCGGACGAUGAGAGGGCAAUGCACCGUGCGGCAGAAAGCGGCCGCGCUCUUGAUACUUCCUUUCACGCUAACAUCUGGAUCGUGCAGGGAGCGCGCUUGUGUGGAGUGAGGCAGCAGGCACCAGUCGGACUCCUUUAUAUGUCGACUAAGCCAACAGACUCAACUGGCGAGCGAAGGCGCCCGGACUCGAUUGCAGUGGACGCUGGCGAAGGGGCGACGGACAAUACAAGAGAUUCCCGGAAUCUAUCACGAGAUGCUGAUCGCACGCCGUCGGCCUCGCCACGCGCUUCCGCUUCGCUGUCGCACAUGCAGGAAGUGUUGUGCCGCGCUACCGCUAUCACCGACUCCUCCGACACCGGCGAUGACCGCGGCGGUCACAGAGGUGUGAGCAGUUGUGAAAGCAGCACGCGCGAUCGGCGCUGCUCUUGCGAGAGCGACCGCGGCGGGGAAGCGCACGCGGAAGUCGAGCGUCCCGCUCUCCGCGGCGCCGCGGCGGACGAAUGCCGGUCUCCCCUCCACAUCAGAGGCGACGUACUGACACACCUCAUCCACUUCAACAGCUCCUUUGACGCCGAUGACCAACUGCUUACCAGUGAUUGCGAGAACAAUGCCGGUGACAGUCAGCAGCCCCGCGGCGGCCUCGCUGCCAUCACUCGCUCGACAGCGUCUGAUGCGAGCGGUGAGUCGUCGUCGCACACGCCUCCGCCACCGGCGCAUUUGUCCGAGUUAUCGCGUCGCAGCUCAGCAUCGUGUUUGUGUGUGUUUGGCGCGGAUGCCUUCCACGACACUCUCUGUGCGCGCGUCGCACUCCCGCACGUUGCCACCGCUAUCUUCGACGCUGGAAUGACACAUCGCACCGACCGGAGCAUCGCUGACGAUCUUUUUGGCAGAGGCUGCUUCCCGCCUACGCAGCCUUCUAGCGAAGCCCUCUGCACCACGGUGGGGUCGUACAUUAGCGAGGUGGAGUAUUUAGCGCCGCCGUCUGAGCACGAAAGCACGGCUGCGCCAUCCCCUGUGCCUAACGCGGCCUUGCAUAUGCCUGUCACUAGCCCGACAAAGACCGUGCUACCAGCCACGGACGCGCUCAGUGACAGGCUCGACAUGGUGGAGGAGAAGUCGGUGGAGGAGGGGACGGACGGCCCGGCUCUUAGCCGGAGCUGCGUGCCUACCCCACAGCUGCGGCACUUGCCGGCCGCUAAACCGCCGAUGUCACUGAGAAAACGCAGGUCAGAGAGGUACUGUGAGCCAUGGCAGCCAGUCCUUGUUCCUUAUAAGACACCUCCUCUCGCCGCGGCGGCUGUUGUGACGACCCUUUCAAUGUUGUCGCCGCCGAGCUUAUCAUUGCGCAAUCGUGUUCAGCGAAUCCCCGGCACCAACGCACUCGAGGACGAUCUCGACGACCUGAUGCUUGCCGACGAGGUGGACAGCGCUCAGAGCAACACGGCCAGCAACGGCUCUUGCGUCUUCAGUGGAUCGAGCUUGAUCACAUCUCGUGCCCUCACGCCGACUGCGGAGUCUGAACAAGAGAUGGCGGACACACCACUGGUGAGGACAGUGGCACACUGUAGCGACGCUAACGUCUCCUUGGACCUCGAGCCCAAGACGCCGCUCGUGACCGUCAACAACCCUCAACCACCAGCAUCGCCCCCUAUUGCCGUGUACCCUCGUACGGCCGGUGCUGCUCAAACGCUUCUGGGCAAAAACGACGAGGGCUCUCAUGCGCAGUUUGUUUGUUCGCCACAUGUCGAUGUUCCACGGCCAGCACUGAAUCUUUCUGCCGAGGAGCGGACGCUGCUGCUGAAGAGCAAGAAAUGGUUGUUUCCGCUUAUUGACGGUACGGACGAAAUCGAGUAGGUAUUCAAGAAAAGGCAUGUCCAUGCUGCCCACGUGAGGUGCUCUAGGAAGACGAUGAUGAAGGACCGGACUGCAUGUGAGAAGCCAGCGCGCUACUCUGUGUGCGCCUCUGGGCUUUCAUUAUCUAUUUUUUUUUCUGGUUCUCUCUCUGUGUCUGUGCGUCGUCGAGCGUUGGAGUGAGAUGCUCUAGUUGACCGCCUCGCUCUACCGGCGCGAGGCGACGUGUAGGUGCUUUUCUCUCUAUUCUCGCGUUGUCUGCAUGGUUCGCGCGAGCAUCUGUUUUUUUUUUUUCUGCCUUUUUCUUCUGUUAUUUCCUUCAUUGCUGUAUUGAGAUGUCUCUUCGUUAUUUCCACCUUUCUUUGUUCGUGCUCUCCUCGCCGCAGCCUCCCUCUCUCCACCUCACUCUUUCAACCUCACCCUCACCCCUUCUUUGCUCUCUUUGUUUUUUUUUUCUGGUUGGUUGUUUCGUGACUGCUAGGGUUGAGGGAUUGCUGUUGUUUUCUUUUGCGCCAGGUCGAAGGAACAACGCGGGACCUUGCGUGAGUCUUCUGGGAUGCGUUGGUGUUCGAUACCUUUUUUUUUUCUCUUGUGUUUCCUUUGUUGGGGGGGGGGGGGGAGGGGGCGGGGCUGCGGCCUGUGUGUGUGUGUGUGCUUAUGCCUGCUUUGUGUGUGUCGUAUUGGUCAGUGCUGGCGCUUUGCCUGUGAUGUGGGCGAUGCUGUUGUUUGCUCCAGGUAAUCGCUCUUUUUCUUAGCUUGAGUCUCCUCUCCUUUGCGUGCCUCGCUUUCUUUCUCUCUCUCUUUCUGUGCGCGCGCGGAUGCGUGUGUGGUGUUUCUUCUUGUCUUUUGGUUCUUGUUCGCCCUCCUUCCCUUUUUUUUUUCACUCAUCGCCUCGGACUCCUGUCCUCGUGUUCGAAGCAUGUGCGGCUUGUCGCCUUCGUUGGUCAUCUGUGUCACAUUAUCGUUUUUUUUUUGACAUCCUUUCCGGAUCCUCUCGCUCUUCUGCGAGGGAGGAGGGGGGGGGACAAGGGAGACGACAGAAAGGAAAAGAAAAUGGAAACGGCACAAUUAUGAGCCAACGCGGACGUACGUCACGACGCAUGUCGUAAGCGAAGCUCUCGCUACUUGAUGAACAGUAUCCCUUUUUUUUUCUCUAUGCUUCUUUCUCUGGACGUCAAGUGCACAAAAAGCAACAACCACAGCAACGUGAAAACGAGUGGACGUCUUUGGUCGACACUGGAAGCCUGUGGUGUCGCAUGCUGAAUUCUGAGGAGAGGGAGAGGUGGAGGUGGAGGCAACGGACACUGACUCCGGCAGCGUUUUGCCCUGGCGUCUCACUUUUCCUUUGCUGCCUUGCCUGUGCCGCUGCUGAGCGUCAUUCCUGUCCCUUCCCACCAGCCCCGGUAGGCCCAGGAAGCACGCCGUCGCGUUGUGACGCCUCGCCGAUGGUAGCAGUAGCAGCCGCCUUGCGUGGCACUUCUUGCAUCGUCCCGCAGACCGUGAAGGGACAACUACCGAUGUGAGCUCUGUCACUCGUCGUCGUCGAUGCGGCAUUGCCACGGAGCGCUGCAAUCGUUACAGCCUGCAACCCGACUCCCUCUGCCGGUUCCCACACCAUCGUCACUUGCUCCUCUCCCUUCUCUAUCCGUUUUCUAUGUCGGCACCACCACUGUAUCAUAAACACGGGUGGCGCGCUUUGGCGUCUCUCGCGCUUCCAAUAACUGCUCGCGUGGGCGGCUCGCUGCACCGCAUUCCCGAUAUGGCUACAACUGCAUACGCACGCACGCACUGUUUCGGUGGAGGCGGAAG